This 462-nucleotide ribosomal RNA is filed under the name uncultured bacterium. Its description in RNAcentral is "partial 16S ribosomal RNA". It matches the Rfam family "Bacterial small subunit ribosomal RNA", at positions 28 to 507 of the family's 1533-position model. The record is from RNAcentral.
GAUGAACGCUGACAGAAUGCUUAACACAUGCAAGUCUUUGGUGAAGCUGUGCUUGCACCGCCUAGCCAAGGCGGACGGGUGAGUAACGCGUAAGGAACUUGCCCUGCAGUCAGGGAUAACAGACGGAAACGACUGAUAAGACCUGGUAAAGUCAGGCGGACUCAUGUCCAGCCUGAUGAAAAGAGAUGCUGCAGGAGAGCCUUGCGUCCUAUUAGCUUGUUGGUGGGUAACGGCCCACCAAGGCAAUGAUAGGUAGCCGGCCUGAGAGGGUGGACGGCCACAAGGGGACUGAGAUACGGCCCUUACUCCUACGGGAGGCAGCAGUGGGGAAUAUUGGACAAUGGGGGCAACCCUGAUCCAGCAAUUCUGUGUGCACGAUGAAGGUCUUCGGAUUGUAAAGUGCUUUCAGCAGGGAAGAAAAAAAUGACGGUACCUGCAGAAGAAGCGACGGCUAAAUACGUG